Molecule: long non-coding RNA, 574 nt
Organism: Oreochromis aureus
Lineage: Eukaryota; Metazoa; Chordata; Actinopteri; Cichliformes; Cichlidae
Source: Ensembl
GUGAGAGGUAAAAUUUCAGUAGUGUGUGUGAGAGCGUUUCAGUAGUGUGUGUGAGAGCGUUUCAGUAGUGUGUGUGAGAGAUAAAAUUUCAGUAGUGUGUGUGAGAGCGUUUCAGUAGUGUGUGUGAGAGCGUUUCAGUAGUGUGUGUGAGAGGUAAAAUUUCAGUAGUGUGUGUGAGAGCGUUUCAGUAGUGUGUGUGAGAGGUAAAAUUUCAGUAGUGUGUGUGAGAGCGUUUCAGUUGUGUGUGUGAGAGGUAAAAUUUCAGUAGUGUGUGUGAGAGCGUUUCAGUAGUGUGUGUGAGAGCGUUUCAGUUGUGUGUGUGAGAGGUAAAAUUUCAGUAGUGUGUGUGAGAGCGUUUCAGUAGUGUGUGUGAGAGCGUUUCAGUAGUGUGUGUGAGAGCGUUUCAGUUGUGUGUGUGAGAGGUAAAAUUUCAGUAGUGUGUGUGAGAGCGUUUCAGUAGUGUGUGUGAGAGCGUUUCAGUAGUGUGUGUGAGAGGUAAAAUUUCAGUAGUGUGUGUGAGAGGUAAAAUUUCAGUAGUGUGUGUGAGAGCGUUUCAGUAGUGUGUGUGAGAGCG